This 1038-nucleotide ribosomal RNA is filed under the name Escherichia coli. RNAcentral's name for it is "bacterial SSU rRNA". It matches the Rfam family "Bacterial small subunit ribosomal RNA", at positions 153 to 1187 of the family's 1533-position model. Lineage: Bacteria; Pseudomonadati; Pseudomonadota; Gammaproteobacteria; Enterobacterales; Enterobacteriaceae. The record is from RNAcentral.
GAAACGGUAGCUAAUACCGCAUAACGUCGCAAGACCAAAGAGGGGGACCUUCGGGCCUCUUGCCAUCGGAUGUGCCCAGAUGGGAUUAGCUAGUAGGUGGGGUAAAGGCUCACCUAGGCGACGAUCCCUAGCUGGUCUGAGAGGAUGACCAGCCACACUGGAACUGAGACACGGUCCAGACUCCUACGGGAGGCAGCAGUGGGGAAUAUUGCACAAUGGGCGCAAGCCUGAUGCAGCCAUGCCGCGUGUAUGAAGAAGGCCUUCGGGUUGUAAAGUACUUUCAGCGGGGAGGAAGGGAGUAAAGUUAAUACCUUUGCUCAUUGACGUUACCCGCAGAAGAAGCACCGGCUAACUCCGUGCCAGCAGCCGCGGUAAUACGGAGGGUGCAAGCGUUAAUCGGAAUUACUGGGCGUAAAGCGCACGCAGGCGGUUUGUUAAGUCAGAUGUGAAAUCCCCGGGCUCAACCUGGGAACUGCAUCUGAUACUGGCAAGCUUGAGUCUCGUAGAGGGGGGUAGAAUUCCAGGUGUAGCGGUGAAAUGCGUAGAGAUCUGGAGGAAUACCGGUGGCGAAGGCGGCCCCCUGGACGAAGACUGACGCUCAGGUGCGAAAGCGUGGGGAGCAAACAGGAUUAGAUACCCUGGUAGUCCACGCCGUAAACGAUGUCGACUUGGAGGUUGUGCCCUUGAGGCGUGGCUUCCGGAGCUAACGCGUUAAGUCGACCGCCUGGGGAGUACGGCCGCAAGGUUAAAACUCAAAUGAAUUGACGGGGGCCCGCACAAGCGGUGGAGCAUGUGGUUUAAUUCGAUGCAACGCGAAGAACCUUACCUGGUCUUGACAUCCACGGAAGUUUUCAGAGAUGAGAAUGUGCCUUCGGGAACCGUGAGACAGGUGCUGCAUGGCUGUCGUCAGCUCGUGUUGUGAAAUGUUGGGUUAAGUCCCGCAACGAGCGCAACCCUUAUCCUUUGUUGCCAGCGGUCCGGCCGGGAACUCAAAGGAGACUGCCAGUGAUAAACUGGAGGAAGGUGGGGAUGACGUCA